GGGCGGGUAGCUCAGUGGUAGAGCACUGGCCUUACAAGCCGGCUGUCGCAGGUUCGACCCCUGUCCCGCCCA
This 72-nucleotide transfer RNA is filed under the name Myxococcales bacterium. RNAcentral's name for it is "tRNA-Val". It matches the Rfam family "tRNA". Rfam says of the family: Transfer RNA (tRNA) molecules are approximately 80 nucleotides in length. Their secondary structure includes four short double-helical elements and three loops (D, anti-codon, and T loops). Lineage: Bacteria; Pseudomonadati; Myxococcota; Myxococcia; Myxococcales. The record is from RNAcentral.